CACCGGCGGCUCGAGUGGUAACCGUUAUUAUUGGGUCUAAAGGGUCUGUAGCCGGCCGGAUAAGUCUCUUGGGAAAUCCAGCAGCUCAACUGUUGGGCUUUCAGGAGAUACUGUCUGGCUCGAGGCCGGGAGAGGUGAGAGGUACUUCAGGGGUAGGGGUGAAAUCUUGUAAUCCUUGAAGGACCACCAGUGGCGAAGGCGUCUCACCAGAACGGACCUGACGGCAAGGGACGAAAGCUAGGGGCACGAACCGG
This 254-nucleotide ribosomal RNA is filed under the name uncultured bacterium. RNAcentral describes it as "partial 16S ribosomal RNA". It matches the Rfam family "Archaeal small subunit ribosomal RNA", at positions 474 to 727 of the family's 1478-position model. The record is from RNAcentral. RNAcentral also lists the same sequence under 1 other name.